Long non-coding RNA from Maniola jurtina (meadow brown), 305 nucleotides. RefSeq lists it as uncharacterized. Lineage: Eukaryota; Metazoa; Arthropoda; Insecta; Lepidoptera; Nymphalidae. The record is from RefSeq and is a predicted model, not a curated record. The transcript has 3 exons.
ACAUACAUUAAUUAAUUUUUGUGCACAAUCGCAAGUGUUUUACCGCCAAGAGAACGCCACUAAGCGAGUUUUUCGUUGAUAGCUCAUAUCGUUACGACAAACUAGUGGAAAGAGACUUCUCGUUGAUAGUUUCGUUGUUCUCGUUGGCAGAGUUGAUAGUUCUCUGCCAACGAGCACAAUCAUCUAUUAAUAUAUUUAUCUUUUGUAAUGACACGGAAUCAUACAUCGAUCGUACGUUUCUGAGCGAAAAAAUAGUCUAUAGCUAGUCGCUUCCUCGUCGGCGGUGGGACAAGUGGCAAAGUUUU